UGGGGAAUCAUGGUCAAUGGGCGAAAGCCUGAACCUGCGACGCCGCGUGAGUGAUGAAGGUCGUAAGAUCGUAAAACUCUUUUCAGGGAUCUUAAAGCCUGUCUGUCAACAACAGGCAGGUCUGACUCUCCCUGGAAGAAGCCCCAGCCAACUACGUGCCAGCAGCUGCGGUAAUACGUAGGGGGCGAGCGUUAUUCGGAAUUACUGGGUGUAAAGGGUAUGUAGGCGGCCCUUCAAGUAGCGUGUCAAAGUCCAGUGCUCAACGCUGGGUGUGCGCGCGAUACUGACGGGCUUGAGGGCUGGAGAGGUGAGCGGAAUUCCCGGUGUAGUGGUAAAAUACGUAGAGAUCGGGAGGAACACCAGCGGCGCAGGCGGCUCACUAGACAGUUUCUGACGCUAAGAUACGAAAGCGUGGGGAGCAAACA
This 425-nucleotide ribosomal RNA is filed under the name uncultured prokaryote. Its description in RNAcentral is "bacterial SSU rRNA". It matches the Rfam family "Bacterial small subunit ribosomal RNA", at positions 355 to 774 of the family's 1533-position model. The record is from RNAcentral.